AGAGUUUGAUCCUGGCUCAGGACGAACGCUGGCGGCGUGCCUAAUACAUGCAAGUCGAGCGCAGGAAGUCAUCAGAUCCUCUUCGGAGGUGACGAUAAUGGAAUGAGCGGCGGACGGGUGAGUAACACGUAGGCAACCUGCCUGUAAGACUGGGAUAACUCGUGGAAACGCGAGCUAAUACCGGAUAACACUUUUCAUCUCCUGAUGAGAAGUUGAAAGGCGGCUUUUGCUGUCACUUACAGAUGGGCCUGCGGCGCAUUAGCUAGUUGGUAAGGUAACGGCUUACCAAGGCGACGAUGCGUAGCCGACCUGAGAGGGUGAUCGGCCACACUGGGACUGAGACACGGCCCAGACUCCUACGGGAGGCAGCAGUAGGGAAUCUUCCGCAAUGGACGAGAGUCUGACGGAGCAACGCCGCGUGAGUGAUGAANGUUUUUCGGAUCGUAAAACUCUGUUGUUAGGGAAAAAAAAGUNCUNUNAGUAACUGANAAUUNCCUUGA
This 500-nucleotide ribosomal RNA is filed under the name Oceanobacillus sp. L4. RNAcentral's name for it is "bacterial SSU rRNA". It matches the Rfam family "Bacterial small subunit ribosomal RNA", at positions 8 to 482 of the family's 1533-position model. The record is from RNAcentral. Lineage: Bacteria; Bacillati; Bacillota; Bacilli; Caryophanales; Bacillaceae.